This 84-nucleotide transfer RNA is filed under the name Amborella trichopoda. RNAcentral's name for it is "tRNA-Ser". It matches the Rfam family "tRNA". Rfam says of the family: Transfer RNA (tRNA) molecules are approximately 80 nucleotides in length. Their secondary structure includes four short double-helical elements and three loops (D, anti-codon, and T loops). The record is from RNAcentral. Lineage: Eukaryota; Viridiplantae; Streptophyta; Magnoliopsida; Amborellales; Amborellaceae.
AUCAGGAUGGCCGAGUGAUCUAACGCGACAGACUCGAGUUCUGGUCCUUGUGAGAGGGCGUGGGUUCAAAUCCCACAUCUGACC